Molecule: ribosomal RNA, 465 nt
Filed under: Vreelandella stevensii
Lineage: Bacteria; Pseudomonadati; Pseudomonadota; Gammaproteobacteria; Oceanospirillales; Halomonadaceae
Description: partial 16S ribosomal RNA
Rfam family: Bacterial small subunit ribosomal RNA
Source: RNAcentral
CCUACGGGUGGCAGCAGUGGGGAAUAUUGGACAAUGGGCGAAAGCCUGAUCCAGCCAUGCCGCGUGUGUGAAGAAGGCCUUCGGGUUGUAAAGUACUUUCAGUGGGGAAGAAAGCCUUGGGGCUAAUACCCUCGAGGAAGGACAUCACCCACAGAAGAAGCACCGGCUAACUCCGUGCCAGCAGCCGCGGUAAUACGGAGGGUGCGAGCGUUAAUCGGAAUUACUGGGCGUAAAGCGCGCGUAGGCGGUCUGAUAAGCCGGUUGUGAAAGCCCCGGGCUCAACCUGGGAACGGCAUCCGGAACUGUCAGGCUAGAGGGCAGGAGAGGAAGGUAGAAUUCCCGGUGUAGCGGUGAAAUGCGUAGAGAUCGGGAGGAAUACCAGUGGCGAAGGCGGCCUUCUGGACUGACACUGACGCUGAGGUGCGAAAGCGUGGGUAGCAAACAGGAUUAGAUACCCGAGUAGUC